GAGUCAACCUUAUGUGCGAGUGCCCGGGCGUAAAACCCCAGCGCGGAAUGAAAGUGAACGUAGGUGAGAGCUUCGGCGCAUCACCGACCGAUCCUGAUGUCCUCGGACGGAUUUGAGUGAGAGCAUAUAGGGUUGGACCCGAAAGAAGAUGAACUAUGCGUGUGUAGGGUGAAGCCAGAGGAAACUCUGGUGGAGGCUCGCAGCGGUUCUGACGUGCAAAUCGAUCGUCAAACAUGCGCAUGGGGGCGAAAGACUAAUCGAAUCUUCUGGUAGCUGGUUUCCGCCGAAGUUUCCCUCAGGAUAGCAGUGUUGAUCCCAGUUUUAUGAGGUAAAGCGAAUGAUUAGGGACUCGGGGGCGCUAUUUAGCCUUCAUCCAUUCUCAAACUUUAAAUAUGUAAGAAGUCCCCGUUACUUUAUUGAACGCGGACGCUGGAAUGAAACAACACUAGUGGGCCAUUUUUGGUAAGCAGAACUGGCGAUGCGGGAUGAACCGAACGCGAGGUUAAGGUGCCGGAGUGGACGCUCAUCAGACACCACAAAAGGUGUUAGUACAUCUUGACAGCAGGACGGUGGCCAUGGAAGUCGGAAUCCGCUAAGGACUGUGUAACAACUCAC
Molecule: ribosomal RNA, 615 nt
Filed under: Microvirga sp. 3-52
Lineage: Bacteria; Pseudomonadati; Pseudomonadota; Alphaproteobacteria; Hyphomicrobiales; Methylobacteriaceae
Description: partial 23S ribosomal RNA
Rfam family: Eukaryotic large subunit ribosomal RNA
Source: RNAcentral